RNAcentral lists this ribosomal RNA (178 nucleotides) under uncultured eukaryote. Its description in RNAcentral is "partial 18S ribosomal RNA". It matches the Rfam family "Eukaryotic small subunit ribosomal RNA", at positions 1299 to 1458 of the family's 1831-position model. The record is from RNAcentral.
UGGUGGAGUGAUUUGUCUGGUUGAUUCCGUUAACGAACGAGAUCUCGACCCUUAAAUAGGUAUGCUCGUCGCUCGGUCGGGCUCCCUUGAUUCGUCUUGUGGACUCGACUAGACAGGGCAACAACUUCUUAAGGGGACUGCGUGCGCCGCUAGCACGCGGAAGAGCGAGCCAAUAGCA